UUAACCACUGCACCACGACAGGAACUCCGGCCACGACUUCUAAACCUGGGCUCCCGUCCUUGUCCCAGCCCUACUGCCAUUCCUGGGAAGCCCAUCCUGAAGCAGGUGGUGUGGUGACUGCCACUCGCAAGGAGGCACGAGGACCGUCACUACCGUCCAGGGACCAGCCCCGGCCCCCUGGAGAAAUGGUUCUGGAGGCUGCUGUGAGAGCACCUGUGAUGUGUCACCAGGCUCUCUUGUCCGGCCAUAGCCUGAAAGGAAGAGAGGCAGUGACCAGGGACUUCAGGAACAGUUGCUGUGAGCACUCAGAGCAAGACAGAGUGGCG
Molecule: long non-coding RNA, 326 nt
Filed under: Sus scrofa (pig)
Lineage: Eukaryota; Metazoa; Chordata; Mammalia; Artiodactyla; Suidae
Description: lncRNA (ENSSSCG00035061693.1)
Source: RNAcentral